GGACCCGCACAAGUAGUGGAGCAUGUGGUUUAAUUCGAAGAUACGCGCAGAACCUUACCAACACUUGACAUGUUCGUCGCGACUUUAAGAGAUUAAAGUUUUCGGUUCGGCCGGACGAAACACAGGUGCUGCAUGGCUGUCGUCAGCUCGUGUCGUGAGAUGUUGGUUAAGUCCCGCAACGAGCGCAACCCUCACUUUUAGUUGCCAUCAUUAAGUUGGGCACUCUGAAAGAACUGCCAGUGAUAAGCUGGAGGAAGGUGGGGAUGACGUCAAGUCCUCAUGGCCCUUACGUGUUGGGCUACACACGUGCUACAAUGGUAUCUACAACAGGAAGCAAGACGGCGAUGGGGAG
Molecule: ribosomal RNA, 352 nt
Filed under: uncultured bacterium
Lineage: Bacteria
Description: bacterial SSU rRNA
Rfam family: Bacterial small subunit ribosomal RNA
Source: RNAcentral